UUGUUGCCAGCGGUUAGGCCGGGAACUCAAAGGAGACUGCCAGUGAUAAACUGGAGGAAGGUGGGGAUGACGUCAAGUCAUCAUGGCCCUUACGACCAGGGCUACACACGUGCUACAAUGGCGCAUACAAAGAGAAGCGACCUCGCGAGAGCAAGCGGACCUCAUAAAGUGCGUCGUAGUCCGGAUUGGAGUCUGCAACUCGACUCCAUGAAGUCGGAAUCGCUAGUAAUCGUGGAUCAGAAUGCCACGGUGAAUACGUUCCCGGGCCUUGUACACACCGCCCGUCACACCAUGGGAGUGGGUUGCAAAAGAAGU
Molecule: ribosomal RNA, 315 nt
Filed under: Salmonella enterica subsp. salamae serovar 48:d:z6
Lineage: Bacteria; Pseudomonadati; Pseudomonadota; Gammaproteobacteria; Enterobacterales; Enterobacteriaceae
Description: bacterial SSU rRNA
Rfam family: Bacterial small subunit ribosomal RNA
Source: RNAcentral